This 503-nucleotide ribosomal RNA is filed under the name uncultured bacterium. Its description in RNAcentral is "partial 16S ribosomal RNA". It matches the Rfam family "Bacterial small subunit ribosomal RNA", at positions 30 to 523 of the family's 1533-position model. The record is from RNAcentral.
AUUGAACGCUGGCGGCAGGCUUAACACAUGCAAGUCGAGCGGGGUGAUGGUGCUUGCACUAUCACUUAGCGGCGGACGGGUGAGUAAUGCUUAGGAAUCUGCCUAUUAGUGGGGGACAACAUCUCGAAAGGGAUGCUAAUACCGCAUACGUCCUACGGGAGAAAGCAGGGGAUCACUUGUGACCUUGCGCUAAUAGAUGAGCCUAAGUCGGAUUAGCUAGUUGGUGGGGUAAAGGCCUACCAAGGCGACGAUCUGUAGCUGGUCUGAGAGGAUGAUCCAGACGAGCGGGACUGAGACACGGCCCAGACUCCUACGGGAGGCAGCAGUGGGGAAUAUUGGACAAUGGUGGUAACCCUGAUCCAGCCAUGCCGCGUGUGUGAAGAAGGCCUUAUGGUUGUAAAGCACUUUAAGCGAGGAGGAGGCUCUGUUGGUUAAUACCCAAGAUGAGUGGACGUUACUCGCAGAAUAAGCACCGGCUAACUCUGUGCCAGCCGCCGCGGUAA